AACCUCGUAGUAUAGUGCGUGGCACGUCGACUACUACGUCGAAGGCGUAGGUUCGAUUCUUACUAAGGUUC
This 71-nucleotide transfer RNA is filed under the name Podospora anserina S mat+. It matches the Rfam family "tRNA". From Rfam's summary of the family: Transfer RNA (tRNA) molecules are approximately 80 nucleotides in length. Lineage: Eukaryota; Fungi; Ascomycota; Sordariomycetes; Sordariales; Podosporaceae. The record is from Rfam by way of RNAcentral.